UACGGAGGGUGCAAGCGUUAAUCGGAAUUACUGGGCGUAAAGCGCACGCAGGCGGUCUGUCAAGUCGGAUGUGAAAUCCCCGGGCUCAACCUGGGAACUGCAUUCGAAACUGGCAGGCUAGAGUCUUGUAGAGGGGGGUAGAAUUCCAGGUGUAGCGGUGAAAUGCGUAGAGAUCUGGAGGAAUACCGGUGGCGAAGGCGGCCCCCUGGACAAAGACUGACGCUCAGGUGCGAAAGCGUGGGGAGCAAACAGGAUUAGAUACCCUGGUAGUCCACGUCGUAAACGAUGUCGAUUUGGAGGUUGUGCCCUUGAGGCGUGGCUUCCGGAGCUAACGCGUUUAAUCGACCGCCUGGGGAGUACGGCCGCAAGGUUAAA
This 375-nucleotide ribosomal RNA is filed under the name uncultured bacterium. RNAcentral describes it as "bacterial SSU rRNA". It matches the Rfam family "Bacterial small subunit ribosomal RNA", at positions 524 to 898 of the family's 1533-position model. The record is from RNAcentral.